RNAcentral lists this ribosomal RNA (216 nucleotides) under uncultured bacterium. RNAcentral's name for it is "partial 16S ribosomal RNA". It matches the Rfam family "Bacterial small subunit ribosomal RNA", at positions 524 to 728 of the family's 1533-position model. The record is from RNAcentral.
UACGGGGGGGGGCAAGCGUUUGUUCGGAAUUACUGGGCGUAAAGGGCUCGUAGGCGGCCAACUAAGUCAGACGUGAAAUCCCUCGGCUUAACCGGGGAACUGCAUCUGAUACUGGAUGGCUUGAGUUCGGGGAGGAGGGAUGCGGAAUUCCAGGUGUAGGCGGAUGAAAUGCGUAGAUAUCUGGGAGGGAACACCGGGUGGGCGAAAGGCGGCGAU